Panicum virgatum (switchgrass) is the source of this 837-nucleotide long non-coding RNA. RefSeq lists it as uncharacterized. The transcript has 2 exons. The record is from RefSeq and is a predicted model, not a curated record. NCBI's taxonomy places the organism in Eukaryota, Viridiplantae, Streptophyta, Magnoliopsida, Poales, Poaceae.
UUCCCCCAAACUUUACCGUUCAUCUUCCUCCCUCUCCUAUCUUCUCCUUAAAAUUCCUCUCAAAUCCACCACUAAAUCUUCAAUAGGUCAUUCAUUGAAUUGAAGGCUGGAUCCAUGAGCUAGUUUAUUUGGACUGAUAGCAAGCAGUGGUUUCUGCAAGCAUCAAGAUCCGAUCCAAUAAAGGCAAACUCUACAUGCAAGCAAGUCGGAGGCCCAGCCGUUGAUGCGGGCUACUCGAUUCUGGCAACAUUUAGCGAGCUCCUGCGGAGGCAUGGCUACUACUGCUUUCAGACCCUUCUCCUGAUCGAUGGCGGUGUCAUGAAGCUUUCCAGCUGCCCCGUCGCUUCUCCUGUAGAUGCAGUACAGCGCCAGCUGAAGGAUGCCCAUUGGAACACCGAUGAAGUUCGGAGACUGCAUCAAACCAAGAAAAGUAUGUGAAGCAUCAGAGAGAGUGAUGAUGGUUUUAUCGAGUUCCAUUUUAUCAGUGAACUUGAUCAGGAUCCUGCACUAACCGCGAUGAACAGAUCCCUCCCAAGGAGCCCGUAUAUCAUCCACAAAGCGCUGGACAGGAAGGAAAACAGUGACAGGUAGAAUGGCAUGAACUCCACGCUUUUCGUGGUGAUGACCUGCUUCUGAAGUUACAAAUUCAGUUUCGGAAAACCCUUGGUUAGAAAACUGCAGUACACAUACGUUGCAGAAGUGAAAAUUAAUGCUUUUUACUUAGUUAAUCUGAUUUGGUUUCUGUACUACUACUUCGAUGUGAGUUGCAGGUGGAUUGGAGUUUUUGUAAAACAGGUUCAUAAUGAAUCAUCAACUGCUAUCUGAUUGUGGAGGUAA